Molecule: microRNA precursor, 78 nt
Organism: Gorilla gorilla gorilla (western lowland gorilla)
Lineage: Eukaryota; Metazoa; Chordata; Mammalia; Primates; Hominidae
Source: Ensembl
AGCGUGGUAGCAUACACCUGUAGUCCUAGAUACUCAGGAGGGUGAGUAUCUAGGACUACACGUGUGUGCUACCACGCU